Molecule: ribosomal RNA, 254 nt
Filed under: uncultured bacterium
Lineage: Bacteria
Description: partial 16S ribosomal RNA
Rfam family: Bacterial small subunit ribosomal RNA
Source: RNAcentral
UACGGGGGGAGCAAGCGUUGUUCGGAUUUACUGGGCGUAAAGGGCGCGUAGGCGGCCAGCACAAGUCAGUUGUGAAAUCUCCGAGCUUAACUCGGAAAGGUCAACUGAUACUGUGCGGCUAGAGUGCAGAAGGGGCAACUGGAAUUCCCGGUGUAGCGGUGAAAUGCGCAGAGAUCGGGAGGAACACCCGUAGCGAAGGCGGCACUCUGGGCCGGUACUGACGCUGAGGAGCGAAAGCGUGGGGAGCAAACAGG